Drosophila ficusphila is the source of this 948-nucleotide long non-coding RNA. RefSeq lists it as uncharacterized. The transcript is spliced from 4 exons. The record is from RefSeq and is a predicted model, not a curated record. NCBI's taxonomy places the organism in Eukaryota, Metazoa, Arthropoda, Insecta, Diptera, Drosophilidae.
GCGUCCCCAAAUUUUGCCAAUCCCAGUUUUUUUUGUUUAAUAUUUUUAUGUCAACCCGUUUUUGUUGCGGCAAAUAGGAAUUGGACGAACAGCAACCAUUCAACAACUCAUUGGAAAAUAAAACUGCUGAAGAAACCAGUUUUACCAAAAAUUCUGACUUCAUAAGACAAGACACAGGUGCUGGAAAUGAUGACUCAAUGCAUAAUACAAACACUCUGGAAAUUGAAUCUUUGCGUCACUAUCUUUUAUCCAUUAUAUAUAUGCCGAACUCCUUGAGGAUGAUUUGCUUGACUAAUCUUUUUUGUUGGAUGGCGCAUGUCUGCUACUCGCUGUAUUUUACGGAUUUUGUGGGAGAAGCUGUAUUCAAAGGGGAUCCACAGGCAACCUUAGGAUCUGAGCCUCAGCUUCGUUAUGAAGAGGGCGUCCGAUUUGGAUGUUGGGGCAUGGCAAUGUACUCUUUAUCGUGUUCUUUUUAUUCACUUAUCAUUGAAAAACUUAUUCAACGCUUUAGGGCUAAAUCUGUGUACGUUGGAGGACUUUUUUUCUAUUGUAUAGGAAUGUCCUUAAUGGCAAUCACGCGAGCAAAGUUGAGUGUUUUAGUAUUUAGUUGGACUGCGGGUAUUAUGUACUCUACACUUUUUACUAUGCCUUAUCUUCUUGUUGCUCACUAUCAUAAUGUUUCUACAUUUGAAAUUGAUGAAAAUGGUGCUCCGAAACUUGGAUCAGGACUACGCGGGUUGGGAACUGAUAUUGCUAUUAUAAGUAGCAUGGUUUUUUUAGCUCAAUUUAUUUUAUCUAUAUGUAUGGGUACAAUUAUUAAGGUAUCAGGAACUACGACUGCUGUUAUAAGUACCGCAAGCUUUUUGAGUUUUUGUGGAGCUUUUUCCGCAACCAAAAUUAUGUAUUUGGAUCUGUAAAUCAAAGUUGAAAUAAAAAAAUUAGUCCAUA